RNAcentral lists this microRNA precursor (104 nucleotides) under Marmota monax (woodchuck). The record is from RNAcentral. Lineage: Eukaryota; Metazoa; Chordata; Mammalia; Rodentia; Sciuridae.
AUAUGCAUCAUUUGGGUAUCUUGUUAAAAUGCAGAUUCUGAGCUAGUAGGUCUGGGUAGAACCUGAGUUUCUGCGUUUCUAACAAAUUCCCAAAUGGCUUUGAU